Molecule: transfer RNA, 30 nt
Filed under: Urosaurus ornatus
Lineage: Eukaryota; Metazoa; Chordata; Lepidosauria; Squamata; Phrynosomatidae
Description: partial tRNA-Lys
Source: RNAcentral
AGAGAAGGGGACGUACCUCCCCCUCAGUGA